Molecule: ribosomal RNA, 495 nt
Filed under: uncultured bacterium
Lineage: Bacteria
Description: partial 16S ribosomal RNA
Rfam family: Bacterial small subunit ribosomal RNA
Source: RNAcentral
UGACCGCUGGCGGCGUGCCUACUACAUGCACGUCGAGCGAACAGAUGAGGAGCUUGCUCCUCUGACGUUAGCGGCGGACGGGUGAGUAACACGUGGAUAACCUACCUAUAAGACUGGGAUAACUUCGGGAAACCGGAGCUAAUACCGGAUAAUAUAUUGAACCGCAUGGUUCAAUAGUGAAAGACAGUUUUGCUGUCACUUAUAGAUGGAUCCGCGCCGCAUUAGCUAGUUGGUAAGGUAACGGCUUACCAAGGCAACGAUGCGUAGCCGACCUGAGAGGGUGAUCGGCCACACUGGAACUGAGACACGGUCCUGACUCCUACGGGAGGCAGCAGUAGGGAAUCUUCCGCAAUGGGCGAAAGCCUGACGGAGCAACGCCGCGUGAGUGAUGAAGGUCUUCGGAUCGUAAAACUCUGUUAUUAGGGAAGAACAAAUGUGUAAGUAACUAUGCACGUCUUGACGGUACCUAAUCAGAAAGCCACGGCUAACUACGUG